This 378-nucleotide ribosomal RNA is filed under the name Triticum aestivum (bread wheat). RNAcentral describes it as "partial small subunit ribosomal RNA". The record is from RNAcentral. Lineage: Eukaryota; Viridiplantae; Streptophyta; Magnoliopsida; Poales; Poaceae.
AUGAGGCCCCAGGUGCUGCUCGCCACGCUGGCCGUCGUCGUCAUCCUCGCAGCAGCUCUGCCCCUCGCCCACGGCCAAGGUGAGCCCGGGAUCCUACUUUUCUUUCUUCAUCUCCUCACCAAGUAUGCCAGCGAAGCCGCUUACUCACGUUGUUCGCUGCCUACAGGUGCGACCCCAAGCGCGUCGCUGUGCUGCGACAACUGCGGCACCUGCACCAGGUCCAUCCCGCCCAGGUGCACGUGCAUGGACACCUCGCCCAGCAGCUGCAACCCGGCCUGCAAGACCUGCGACAAGUCCACCGUGGCCGGCCGCGACAGCUUCCAAUGCAAGGACCGCGUCGCCAACUUCUGCCAGCGCAGCUGCACUAAGGCCGCGUGA